This 187-nucleotide non-coding RNA is filed under the name Anoxybacteroides amylolyticum. Its description in RNAcentral is "Anoxybacillus amylolyticus Lysine sequence". It matches the Rfam family "Lysine riboswitch aptamer". From Rfam's summary of the family: Riboswitches are metabolite binding domains within certain messenger RNAs that serve as precision sensors for their corresponding targets. Allosteric rearrangement of mRNA structure is mediated by ligand binding, and this results in modulation of gene expression. The record is from Rfam by way of RNAcentral. Lineage: Bacteria; Bacillati; Bacillota; Bacilli; Caryophanales; Anoxybacillaceae.
CGAUGAGGUAGAGGUUGCGGCUUUUAUGAGUACAGUGAACGAGGCGCAGAGACGUUAAGGACUUCACUCGAAAGGAAAAGUCGCCGAAGUCCGCUCAUUUCUCUGGAUGUGUGGGCUGGGGCUGUCUUCGAAUAGAGGCAGCACUGUCACGACUGCAUUUUGGCAAUCGUGAGGCGCUAUCUUCACG